UUUUGUAGCUCAGUUGGUUAGAGCACCUGUUUAGUAAGCGGGAGGUCUUGAGUUCAUCUCUUUACAGGA
RNAcentral lists this transfer RNA (69 nucleotides) under Ipomoea nil (Japanese morning glory). It matches the Rfam family "tRNA". Rfam says of the family: Transfer RNA (tRNA) molecules are approximately 80 nucleotides in length. Lineage: Eukaryota; Viridiplantae; Streptophyta; Magnoliopsida; Solanales; Convolvulaceae. The record is from Rfam by way of RNAcentral.